GACGAAGGGGGCAAGCGUUGUUCGGAAUUACUGGGCGUAAAGGGCGCGUAGGCGGUCUUUUAAGUCAGGGGUGAAAUCCUGGAGCUCAACUCCAGAACUGCCUUUGAUACUGGCGAGCUUGAGUUCGGGAGAGGUGAGUGGAACUGCGAGUGUAGAGGUGAAAUUCGUAGAUAUUCGCAAGAACACCAGUGGCGAAGGCGGCUCACUGGCCCGAUACUGACGCUGAGGUGCGAAAGCGUGGGGAGCAAACAGG
RNAcentral lists this ribosomal RNA (253 nucleotides) under uncultured bacterium. RNAcentral's name for it is "partial 16S ribosomal RNA". It matches the Rfam family "Bacterial small subunit ribosomal RNA", at positions 524 to 776 of the family's 1533-position model. The record is from RNAcentral.